Molecule: ribosomal RNA, 77 nt
Filed under: Halomonas sp. YLB-10
Lineage: Bacteria; Pseudomonadati; Pseudomonadota; Gammaproteobacteria; Oceanospirillales; Halomonadaceae
Description: partial 16S ribosomal RNA
Rfam family: Bacterial small subunit ribosomal RNA
Source: RNAcentral
GUGGUUCAUGACUGGGGUGAAGUCGUAACAAGGUAGCCGUAGGGGAACCUGCGGCUGGAUCACCUCCUUAAACGACA